GCUCUGGCUCCCCUCUGAACCAGCAGAGAAAGGAAUUCUUAGGGCCUCCCUUUGUCAAGGAAUCAGGUUUUUCUCAUUUAACCAAUGGCUGUUAUCCCUGCUGUCAGCUGUUAGCAUAUAACAUUAGUAUGUUGGAUGUUUAUUUUUUUGAUCCCACAGUUCACGCAUCAGUAAAGAUGUUUUCAGUGGCCAGAAACAGAACUUCUAUUCAGUUGGCUUAGACAAUAAAGAAAGUGUAUUCUGUCACAGAACAAGAAGUCCAGGGGAAGACUAGCUUCAGCAGAGGUUAGUCCUGCCGCUCAACAUCAUCAUCAAGGACCCAGGUUUAUUCUCUGCUUGUGGCGUUGUCCUUGGCUAGCUUGCUUCAUGGUCACAAGAUGGCUGCUGCCACCCCAGACAUCACAUUGUCACAAAACAAUGUCCAUAGCAGCAAAACAAAAAACAUACACAAAAAAUACCCCAGGAAACAUCUCAUCCUUGUGUCCCAUUUUAAGACCAAAGAAAGUUUUUCCCAGAAGUCCUCAGAAGACUGUCUCACACUGCUCAUUGGCUAGAAUUGAGCCACAUCCCAUGCCUGAAUCUAUCCCAAGCAAGGUGGAUACUGCCACUAUUACUGCCCUGAGCCCAGAAGGAGAAGGAAAAACACCUGGAACAAACCCAGUCUCAGCAGGGUUCUUCGUUGAAAGCAACAGAAAGCUCACGGACUCCUCGGGCUGGCUGGAGAGCUAAGCUCAGGAACCAGGGAGGACCGGACAGCAGCCAGAACCCCUGCCAAAUCACACCUCAGGGCUAGAGCAGGGAGGACAACAGUGAAACUGGCCCUGAGGCUCCUCUGGCCCUGGAAACCUCCUGGGGCGGCUGCCGCCAAUUCUGUCAGAUACAUCCCAUCACCGUGUCUUUGUAUCACCUGCUAAGAUUCAGAGUUCCUGGGGGUGCAUCUGAUUGGCUGAGCCAGAUCAUAUGCCUGCCCUACAGCUGCAAAGGAGGCUGGGAAAGUGAGGUCAGGUUUUCAUGGUGGGAGAAGGGCUCUGCUUGCCCAUGACUUGCAAGGUAGGGGAUGCAGGAGAGCCACAGAAAGAGUAAAGGGGCACUCUGCUGGGUGAGAGGCCAUGGGCUCCCCGAGAGGCAGGGCUGUGGCUGUUUAUCCCACGCCCCACCCCCAGUGUUGGGAGCAGGUAUGCUCUCAACAGGCUUCAGGAAAGUGUCCAGUGAUCUGACUCACCUGGACUCGGAGAACCGUGGUGCCGGAGGGACCACCUUGGGAUUCCUGCAAAAGAGGUUUGAGGACAAAUGUAGAACUGCCGCUUUUUAUUUUGCCAAGUAAGACUAUCAAAAGCAAACAAUAAAUAAACCACUUUCUACCCUCACCAUUUCAUAAAAGAGGGGACAUCUUAAACACCAAUAAAACUAAAAGGACCAGGGAGAGCAUGAUUUUAGAAUCGAGCACAAUCCUUCAAGCUAAAUACACGUUAGCUUUAAGAAAAUCUCUCUGUCGUCCGGAUGUUUCUACUUUCGCUGGAAACCUAUGAAAAGGUCAUGACACAACUGACUUUGAACAUGGACUGUGGACUAGAUAAUGGUGUUGUAUCAGUGCCCUGAGCUAACAUCUGCUGCCAAUCCUCGUCUUUUUGCUGAGGAAGACUGGCCCUGACCUCACAUCCAUGCCCAUCUUCCUCUACUUUAUACGUGGGACGCCUACCACAGCAUGGCUUGAUGAGUGGUGCCAUGUCCGCAGCCGGGAUCUGAACCGGCAAACCCUGGGCCGCCGAAGCGGAACGUGCGCACUUAAACACUGUGCCACCGGGCCGGCCCCUACUCAUCUCUUAGGUGGGGAAACUGAGAGGUUCUGGGACUUGCCCAAGAUCAUACUGCAAGUUCCAGACUCUGUAGUGGGGGACAGAGUAAUUGGUCAGAUUUGGCUAAGUCAUCUCAAGUCCAAGUUAGGAACAUAGGAAGGGAGGGGCCUUGGGAAUUAGAGGGGAAAAGGGAAGGGAAGCCUGCAGUGUUCAGAUUGGGAAAUUCCCCUUCCCUUCCCCUUCUCACUCUCAAUGUAGCUUCUGUUCCCCUGAGCUUGAAAGAAGAAACAGUGUUUUGCAGGUGCACCAUGUUCUACAACUUAAUGAG
RNAcentral lists this long non-coding RNA (2124 nucleotides) under Equus caballus (horse). RNAcentral describes it as "lncRNA (ENSECAG00000045320.1)". The record is from RNAcentral. Lineage: Eukaryota; Metazoa; Chordata; Mammalia; Perissodactyla; Equidae.